AGAAAAUUAAGUGAGAGAAAUUACAGAUCUUUCAAAUCUGAAAUUGCAAGUUUGAACUUGCAAUUUUGA
Molecule: transfer RNA, 69 nt
Filed under: Macleaya cordata
Lineage: Eukaryota; Viridiplantae; Streptophyta; Magnoliopsida; Ranunculales; Papaveraceae
Rfam family: tRNA
About the family: Transfer RNA (tRNA) molecules are approximately 80 nucleotides in length. Their secondary structure includes four short double-helical elements and three loops (D, anti-codon, and T loops).
Source: Rfam by way of RNAcentral